GCGGAGGGAUCAUUACAGAGUUGCAAAACUCCAACAAACCAUCGCGAAUCUUACCCGUACGGUUGCCUCGGCGCUGGCGGUCCGGAAGGCCCUCGGGCCCCCCGGAUCCUCGGGUCUCCCGCUCGCGGGAGGCUGCCCGCCGGAGUGCCGAAACCAAACUCUUGAUAUUUUAUGUCUCUCUGAGUAAACUUUUAAAUAAGUCAAAACUUUCAACAACGGAUCUCUUGGUUCUGGCAUCGAUGAAGAACGCAGCGAAAUGCGAUAAGUAAUGUGAAUUGCAGAAUUCAGUGAAUCAUCGAAUCUUUGAACGCACAUUGCGCUCGCCAGUAUUCUGGCGAGCAUGCCUGUUCGAGCGUCAUUUCAACCAUCAAGCUCUGCUUGCGUUGGGGAUCCGCGUCUGACGCGGUCCCUCAAAAACAGUGGCGGGCUCGCUAGUCACACCGAGCGUAGUAACUCUACAUCGCUAUGGUCGUGCGGCGGGUUCUUGCCGUAAAACCCCCAAUUUCUAAGGUUGACCUCGGAUCAGGUAGGAAUACCCGCUGAACUUAA
This 549-nucleotide ribosomal RNA is filed under the name Sordaria macrospora. Its description in RNAcentral is "eukaryotic LSU rRNA". The stretch from base 205 to 358 matches the Rfam family "5.8S ribosomal RNA". Lineage: Eukaryota; Fungi; Ascomycota; Sordariomycetes; Sordariales; Sordariaceae. The record is from RNAcentral.